GUCUUUUUGAAAUAAUUUAAAGUCUAAUCUGCCCCCUGAUAAAAAAUUAAAGGGCUGCAGUAUAAUGACUGUACAAAGGUAGCAUAAUCAAUAGUUUUUUAAUUGAAAACUUGUAUGAAAGAUUUGAUGAAAUAUGGACUGUCUCUAAUUUAUAGAUUGAAUUUUAUUUUUUAGUAAAAAAGCUAAAAUAAAUUUAAAAGACGAGAAGACCCUAUAGAGUUUUAUAUUUAAUUUUAUUUUAAAAUUAUAUAAAAAUUAAUAUUAAAAAUAAAAUUAAAUAUUAUAUUGGGGUGAUAGAAAAAUUAAAUUAACUUUUUUUAAAAAUUAAACAUAAAUAAAUGAUUAUAUGAUCCAUAAAUAAUGAUUAUAAGAAAAAAUUACCUUAGGGAUAACAGCGUAAUAUUUUUUUUUAGUUCAAAUAAAAAAAAAAGUUUGCGACCUCGAUGUUGGAUUAAGAUAAAAUUUAAAUGCAAAAGUUUAAAAAUUUUGAUCUGUUCGAUCAUUAAAAUCUUACA
This 515-nucleotide ribosomal RNA is filed under the name Melanargia larissa. RNAcentral's name for it is "partial 16S ribosomal RNA". Lineage: Eukaryota; Metazoa; Arthropoda; Insecta; Lepidoptera; Nymphalidae. The record is from RNAcentral.